UGACGAAUGAGAUUGGACAUCUGUCAUA
Molecule: small RNA, 28 nt
Filed under: Bombyx mori (domestic silkworm)
Lineage: Eukaryota; Metazoa; Arthropoda; Insecta; Lepidoptera; Bombycidae
Description: ovarian small RNA-8114
Source: RNAcentral